Non-coding RNA from Pelobates cultripes (western spadefoot toad), 125 nucleotides. The record is from the annotation of a GenBank genome assembly. NCBI's taxonomy places the organism in Eukaryota, Metazoa, Chordata, Amphibia, Anura, Pelobatidae.
AUAACAAUACAGGACUCUUUAGAGGCCCUGUAAUUGUAAUGAGUACACUUGAAAUCCUUUAACUCUGAUUAAUUGUAGGGCAAGUCUGGUGCAGAGCGACUGACCCAUGUGUGCUGCAGCUGAAA